This 484-nucleotide ribosomal RNA is filed under the name uncultured bacterium. RNAcentral's name for it is "partial 16S ribosomal RNA". It matches the Rfam family "Bacterial small subunit ribosomal RNA", at positions 30 to 507 of the family's 1533-position model. The record is from RNAcentral.
AUUGAACGCUGGCGGCAGGCCUAACACAUGCAAGUCGAGCGGAUGAAGGGAGCUUGCUCCUGGAUUCAGCGGCGGACGGGUGAGUAAUGCCUAGGAAUCUGCCUGGUAGUGGGGGAUAACGUCCGGAAACGGGCGCUAAUACCGCAUACGUCCUGAGGGAGAAAGUGGGGGAUCUUCGGACCUCACGCUAUCAGAUGAGCCUAGGUCGGAUUAGCUAGUUGGUGGGGUAAAGGCCUACCAAGGCGACGAUCCGUAACUGGUCUGAGAGGAUGAUCAGUCACACUGGAGCUGAGACACGGUCCAGACUCCUACGGGAGGCAGCAGUGGGGAAUAUUGGACAAUGGGCGAAAGCCUGAUCCAGCCAUGCCGCGUGUGUGAAGAAGGUCUUCGGAUUGUAAAGCACUUUAAGUUGGGAGGAAGGGCAGUAAGUUAAUACCUUGCUGUUUUGACGUUACCAACAGAAUAAGCACCGACUAACUUCGUG